Caenorhabditis elegans is the source of this 21-nucleotide non-coding RNA. The record is from Ensembl. NCBI's taxonomy places the organism in Eukaryota, Metazoa, Nematoda, Chromadorea, Rhabditida, Rhabditidae.
UGAAGAUGCCUUUUAUGUUCC